AUCUAUCAUCUAUCCAUCCAGCUAGCUACAUUUCUAUGUAUUUAGGUAUUAUUGUUGCAAAUGCUUUUACUACUCCUGCUGGAUCUUCUUCAGCUAGCCAGUGUCCCCCGUCUGUUCCAGAGUUUGUCUCUAGCCUUCAGAAACCCCCCUUAUCCAGAGCCAACUAAAAGGUUACAAGGAUACCCACCACUGGACUCUUGAGUGUGGCAAUAUAAAAUCCAGUUCCUUUACCUAACUGCAGGUGAACUUUAUCCCUGGGAAUCCAUGGGAACAAGCUGAAGCUCGAGCAAUUUCUUGCCCAACACUUUCCCCAUUAUAGUUGGCUUCCUCAUGGUUUCUCCAGAGAGUACACCAUCAAUAAAUCAUGUACUCAAAUAUCCAUCUCUGACCUGCUUAUCUGCAAGGGCCCACCUUUCUCAUCUGGAGAAUAUUCUUGUUGAAAUCAGAUAAACUUUAAGAGAGAGGAAAGGAAUGAUUAUAGGAAGAUAGGGAUGAAUCUGGGAGAAGUCCCCGCUAUGGCUAGGUGGUUGAUGGGUGGUGACAGGACAAUGUGAUAGCACUAGAGAAGGUUCCAAAUGUAAUGUCCAAAGAGAAGAUAUGGGAUUGUUGAUGAACAGAAUGGAAGUGUAAGAAUACGAAGGAAGAAAAGAAAAUUGUUAUUUUUGGUGAAAGAAUGAAUAAAUCAAUGUCUUUCUCAAUCA
Molecule: long non-coding RNA, 701 nt
Organism: Perognathus longimembris pacificus (Pacific pocket mouse)
Lineage: Eukaryota; Metazoa; Chordata; Mammalia; Rodentia; Heteromyidae
Exons: 3
Source: RefSeq, a predicted model, not a curated record